RNAcentral lists this ribosomal RNA (396 nucleotides) under uncultured bacterium. RNAcentral describes it as "bacterial SSU rRNA". It matches the Rfam family "Bacterial small subunit ribosomal RNA", at positions 30 to 429 of the family's 1533-position model. The record is from RNAcentral.
AUUGAACGCUGGCGGCAUGCCUUACACAUGCAAGUCGAACGGCAGCACGGGAGCAAUCCUGGUGGCGAGUGGCGAACGGGUGAGUAAUAUAUCGGAACGUGCCCAGUCGUGGGGGAUAACGUAGCGAAAGCUACGCUAAUACCGCAUACGAUCUAUGGAUGAAAGCGGGGGAUCGCAAGACCUCGCGCGAUUGGAGCGGCCGAUAUCAGAUUAGGUAGUUGGUGAGGUAAAGGCUCACCAAGCCGACGAUCUGUAGCUGGUCUGAGAGGACGACCAGCCACACUGGGACUGAGACACGGCCCAGACUCCUACGGGAGGCAGCAGUGGGGAAUUUUGGGCAAUGGGGGAAACCCUGAUCCAGCAAUGCGCGUGAGUGAAGAAGGCCUCGGUUGUAAG